This 498-nucleotide ribosomal RNA is filed under the name uncultured bacterium. Its description in RNAcentral is "partial 16S ribosomal RNA". It matches the Rfam family "Bacterial small subunit ribosomal RNA", at positions 28 to 507 of the family's 1533-position model. The record is from RNAcentral.
GACGAACGCUGGCGGCAUGCCUAACACAUGCAAGUCGAACGGAGAUUAUUUCUGUAAUCUUAGUGGCGAACGGGUGCGUAACGCGUGGUCAACCUGCCCUCUAGAGGGGGACAACAUCCCGAAAGGGGUGCUAAUACCUAAUGUGACAGCAAUCUCGCAUGAAGAAGCUGUUAAAAGUUGCCUCUAUUUAUUAGCUAUCGCUAGAGGAGGGGCCUGCGUCUGAUUAGCUAGUUGGUGGGGUAAGGGCCUACCAAGGCGAUGAGCAGUAGCCGGUCUGAGAGGAUGAUCGGCCACAUUGGGACUGAGACACGGCCCAGACUCCUACGGGAGGCAGCAGUGGGGAAUCUUCCGCAAUGGGCGAAAGCCUGACGGAGCAAUGCCGCGUGAGUGAUGAAGGAAUUCGUUCCGUAAAGCUCUUUUGUUUAUGACGAAUGUGCAGAUUGUGAAAAAUGAUCUGUAAUGACGGUAGUAAACGAAUAAGCCACGGCUAACUACGUG